AUGGAUCCACAGAGAAAUGAAAGAAUAGGUCGAGGAGAAGGAGGAGUAAGAGGAGGAGGUGUAAGUCGUCCUCAAGUGAUCGUCCUGCCGCCGUCCAGUGAAGAGAUUUCCAGCAAGAAGACAGCAACACUGAUGUGUGUGGCCAGCAAUGGUUUCCCUUCAGACUGGAGUCUGAGCUGGAAAGUGAAUGGGAAGAUGUCAGGAUCUCAGGAGAACAGAGCUGGAGUCCUACAGAAAGACGGCGGUCUGUACAGCUGGAGCAGCAGUCUGAUUCUCACUGAACAAGAAUGGAUCAACAGAGACUCAGUGAUCUGUGAGAUCAGUCGGGAAGGUCAGACAGUCACUGGAGAAGUGAAGAAAGAUCUGUGUUCUGAGUAG
Molecule: non-coding RNA, 378 nt
Organism: Paramisgurnus dabryanus
Lineage: Eukaryota; Metazoa; Chordata; Actinopteri; Cypriniformes; Cobitidae
Source: the annotation of a RefSeq genome assembly